UUAGUAAAUUUCUGGCCUCCGUAUAGUU
RNAcentral lists this small RNA (28 nucleotides) under Bombyx mori (domestic silkworm). RNAcentral's name for it is "ovarian small RNA-36736". The record is from RNAcentral. Lineage: Eukaryota; Metazoa; Arthropoda; Insecta; Lepidoptera; Bombycidae.